GGCGGAGUGGUCGUCUCACCUGGUCUACCGUCGCGACGUUUGUCUUCACUGGGAGUUCUUUAAACCUGGUGAAGAGAAAGGAUUAGAGCAGAGCAGAACCUUCUUCAGUUGGACCGCGGGGUCUCUCCUCUUCGGCCCGUACAGGUCGAUCAAAGAACAUGUCUCUGACGAUGGAAAGAAUCUGACGAAUGGAUAGUUUGUUUGAUAGACUGUUUUCUUGAACAACUGCAAGGUGUACUCUUGAAUAACCUUCCCAAGCUGCCUAACCACCCCUGUAACAAAAUAGACCACCCCUGAGAGGUGCCCAACAAGGUAGUGGGGAAAAUUCAGUCUUGAUGUGCACACAAAGAAAGGUCUCUUUGACGAGGACGAAGUACACGACAACUAAAACCUGCAGGUAGGGACUGCGCAUCGUCUUUA
Molecule: long non-coding RNA, 420 nt
Organism: Branchiostoma belcheri (Belcher's lancelet)
Lineage: Eukaryota; Metazoa; Chordata; Leptocardii; Amphioxiformes; Branchiostomatidae
Exons: 3
Source: RefSeq, a predicted model, not a curated record